This 259-nucleotide ribosomal RNA is filed under the name uncultured prokaryote. RNAcentral's name for it is "partial 16S ribosomal RNA". It matches the Rfam family "Bacterial small subunit ribosomal RNA", at positions 524 to 784 of the family's 1533-position model. The record is from RNAcentral.
UACGUAGGUGGCAAGCGUUGUCCGGAAUUACUGGGUGUAAAGGGCGUGUAGGCGGGUUUGCAAGUCGGGUGUGAAAGAUCCAGGCUUAACUUGGAGAGGUCAUCCGAAACUGCAGAUCUUGAGUGCUGGAGAGGAUAGUGGAAUUCCUGGUGUAGCGGUAAAAUGCGUAGAUAUCAGGAGGAACACCAGUGGCGAAGGCGGCUAUCUGGACAGUAACUGACGCUGAGGCGCGAAAGCGUGGGGGCAACAGGAUUAGAUA